UUUUCCCUGAUGAAACAGGAAGAGAAGCUGUUGGCCUUUUCAAUCCCCUAACAUCUGGAUUUAUGAGCAUGCCGCCAAUAUUUUUGUGUGGUGAGGACUGCCAUCCCUAGCCUCACCACUGCUAAAAUUAACUGACAUCUUAGGCCACGUAAGCUGCUUAUUCCCAAAUGUCAAGUCACUAGGGGCACUUACAGCAAAGAGAAUGUUAAUGGGAUAUUUCUGAGAAUAGGCAUUAAGUAUGGAAAACACUGGAGUGAAGAAAUGCACGUCUGAAAGUCAGCUAAGUACCUUAGGCACCAGCCAGAGCAUUCUGUAAUGGGAAGCUGGUGAGACAUACAUUUCUGCAGAGGGAGUUGUGAAACUCAGUCCUUGUCCUGAAAGCUUGCUAUUAGCUUCAAUUCCCAGCACCAGGAAUGCUUAUUCCUUCGCUUAUUCAACAAAGAUGUUAUUCACCCAGCUGUCACAUCAACCCAUCUGUACACUAAUGCAACCUUACGGUUGGCUUUCUCCUACCACAGUACCUCAAACGAUAAUAUAUUAAGGGAAAUAUUGCAUGAUAAGAACUGGUUUAUGAUCCAGAAGUGAAGCCCAGGACUAAUCGGCCACUAACUUGAUUUACUGAGAUCAGAAUCAGGUCAGAAAGAAGGGAAAGGCAAGCUGUGUUUAAGAUUGGUAUUUUAUAUGUUUUUACAUUACAGAAUUACUAUAAAAGCAAAUCAGCCAGGGCACACAUCUGCCUGUAAAAGGAGGCCAUUUGCCUACAAAGCCUCGCUGCUCUCUGCAAGCCAUUUUAAAAGGUCGACUGAAAGGCAUUGUGGAAAUCUGGGAUCUGUCCUGAACAUGCCCACAAACAGACCACUAAUGUAGAUCUGCGUGACAGCUCCUCUACUGUGCAAAAGGCGUAUUAGAUUUGAGAUCUGGCACCUCCUUGUCUCCUCUGAACUCAGUGUACCUGAGCAGUUCACCUGUCUCCCUUCUCACAAUGCUCACUCUUCCUUAAAAAGGAAAAAAAGAAAGAUCUAACACAAAAAGCCCAGAAACCUCACCCUCUUUGAUGCUUAUAGAAUAGAUCACAAGCAGAUUAUCAGUUUCUUGUCACCCCCUUUGCCCCUCCUCCCUGUUAUCCUAAUCAAAGUUAAUACAUUCUAACUAAUAUCUGUGUUGACAUAGGAAUCAUUUGGUGUUUCUGAGGAGCGCAUGCGCCACGUAACCUUGAAUAUGAACAGUCUGAUGGGGUCUGCAGAAAUGCAUAUGGAUGUCCUAAUGAGGCAAUUGCCUUGGGGAAACCAGGCAGGUCUCUCUAAUUGGGGAGCCAGACUUUAAAAGGCAGCUGGCCACGUGCAACGCCAAUUAUUGGAACCACUUAGUUGCAAACCUCAGGAGAUACAACCAGGUUUUAAGUAACAGAUGAUUUGGGGUAAGUACUGGAUACUCAGCAUUGCACGCUCGGCAUUUUUCAGGUUUGACACAUCAUGGCUUAAACUUAAAUAUACUGUUAGUGCAACCAAGUUUUUUUCUCACAGGAAUAUAAAAAUGUGCAUUCUUUUCAACUUACUUGCUUCAGCUUUUGCCUUCUUCAGUCUAAAAGUCCUUAUUGGGACUGGUGGAUAAGGAAGAGUACUGUCUUACUGAAUUGACUGCCAAGUCCUUAGCAAAGCUAGCCUUUUUGAAGCCACGUUUUAUAGCGGAGGUGGACUGUGAUUCCACCCGUUCAUUCACAAAUCCAGUAUUGAACUGUAUUACACCUCUGAUUUCAUCGUGUUUCUGUCUAAACAGUGAACACUGCUGUGUUGCUAGAAGAUACCAAUGGAGGCAGGAGCUGUAGACGUUGUUCCAGAAAUAAAACAAAUAUGAAACAACCCCAACUCUUUCUCAUAAAAGCUCUCUCUUGCUGCGUUCCCCAGGAUCCUUGGCAGAAUUUGGCACCUUCUCCUCUGCCAGAAGGCUCUGAAUAGUGGCCUUUUAGCUUCUGCUACGGUUUACCAGUUUUCCCAUCACAAGUUGGAAGAAGUAAUAACUGGCCCAGGAGACCAGAACAGAGAUAUUACCUCAACAGAUGAAGAUGGAUCUCAAGGCUGAGAGUGUCAAUGUUUAGCACAGACCUGGGAUGAGGAGUGUUUUCUUUAAUAGCAAUGAAGAGUGGUGGAAUAAGUUCCUGUCUCUGCCACUGCCCUUCAGAACAAGUCGCAACCAAACCAUCAAAUCCAUAAUCCUAGAAAAGCAGGUCUGGACAAAUGGAUUAAUGUGAUUGUCCUGACACAAGAUCACAUUCUCAGUUACUAGGUGCUUGCUGAAUGAAAGGAGAUCAUAUAAAUGCUCUGUAAUGCCAUGGCAUCAUUUGGCAAAGAUUUCAACUUGUCAGAAGUGGUAAGGAAAUUAAACACGAGGAAAUUUGCUGAAGGCUGUUUAGAAGUACAGACACAGUGCAUCAGCCAGAUCACCCUUACUCAACUCCUUGUUGACAGCUUCAAAUAACUCUGCUAAGCCUGCAAGAGCCGGCAUGUUCUCUGAAGAUCUUUCUUUUUUUUGCCAACUAUAAGUUACUCAGAGGACAGUUUGAAGGGCAGUAGCUGAUGAGCUGAAGAUCCCCUGUGGGCUCAAACUCUCUAAAACAUGGUGCACAGCCACAGAUCUUACAGGCAAGACACAAAAUUUAUAUAAAAGAUGCCAGAGCUUUCUUUUGCAAGCUAAAGGAGGGAAGAGGAACAAUAAGGACCACAGUG
This is a long non-coding RNA of Grus americana (Whooping crane), 2723 nucleotides long. RefSeq lists it as uncharacterized. The record is from RefSeq and is a predicted model, not a curated record. Lineage: Eukaryota; Metazoa; Chordata; Aves; Gruiformes; Gruidae. The transcript is spliced from 5 exons.